RNAcentral lists this long non-coding RNA (265 nucleotides) under Elaeis guineensis (African oil palm). RNAcentral describes it as "long non-coding RNA (EGUI_LNC022120)". The record is from RNAcentral. Lineage: Eukaryota; Viridiplantae; Streptophyta; Magnoliopsida; Arecales; Arecaceae.
AGGUCAAGUCUGAUACAAUGAUCACUGGGAGGGUGUCAUUAGGUCCUAGAAUUGCAUACUUGAGUGUGACUGAAAGUGGCUUUAAUUCUAGUGCUGGUGGUGAUUUUAAUGAUGGGACUAUAGGUGUAUUAGCUAAUGCGGGCAAUGGCUCGUAUUUGAUUGUCCAAAGGGGAGUAGUUUUGGUAUUUGAUGUAUCAACUAGAAUAUUUAUUUCUUCACUAUCUCUUUCCAUAUCACAGUCAUCCACUCCAAAAUGCGUCAAGUG